Molecule: unclassified non-coding RNA, 3898 nt
Filed under: Apis florea (little honeybee)
Lineage: Eukaryota; Metazoa; Arthropoda; Insecta; Hymenoptera; Apidae
Description: sCY1-like protein 2, transcript variant X4
Source: RNAcentral
AUGUUUGCCAAGUCGAAAAGUAGUGGCUCGACACCGAGCGUUCUACUUCCUAAUCCCCUUCAGAAUUUGUACGACGUUGGCAAACAAACGGCUACAGCAGGACCCGAAAACGCUUGGCGUAUAUACAACGGAUACACGAAAGCGGAUCGAAAGGAAGUCUCGAUAUUUUUCUUUGACAAAAGAUCGGUCGAUAAACUUCACAAACCGAAGCGGAAAGAAGCGGUUACGGAAAUUUUACGAAACGGAGCACGACAAAUGGAACGAGUUUCUCAUCCAAAGAUUCUGCAGGCAUACAAGGUCGAAGAGUGCGCUGAUAGUUUAGCAUUCGCGUCCGAGCCAGUUCUCGCUAGUCUUGCGAAUGUUUUAGCCUAUCAAGAGCAACGGGCGAAUAACGUUGGCCAAUCGUCAACUAACGUAACGAAACAAACUUCUUCAACCCCUAGUCAUCGUGCCCCAUUUACGAAAGAGUACGAGUUACUUGAUAUAGAGAUCAAAUAUGGAUUGUUGCAGAUCACAGAGGCUUUACUUUAUCUUCACGGAACACGCAAAGUCCUUCACAGGAACGUUUGUCCCGCGAGCAUAAUAAUUACGAAAAGGGGCACUUGGAAAUUGUCAGGUCUCGAAUUUAUCGAAAAAAUGAAGGAAUUGCCAAUGAUAUCGUUGCAACCUUGGACCAAUCGCAUGUCGAAAAUGACGCAGCCGAAUCUCGAUUACAUAGCACCGGAAAUACAGCAAAAGAAAGAGGGGGGCUUCUACAGCGACAUGUAUAGCUUUGGUAUGACAAUAUGCGCAAUUUUCAAUCAAGGACGGCCAUUGAUUCAAGCGAAUCAUAACUGUUCCGACUAUUUGAAACAAGUAGAAAACCUCGAAGAACAAGUCCAUGUGAUAUUACCUUUAGUUCCUCUUCCUCUUCGAGAAGCUGUUUCCCGACUUUUACACAUCGAUCCAGAGAAGAGGCCAACCAUUCAAGUUUUAUCCAUGAUCAAAUAUUUUCAAGAUCCACCCGUAUACGCGCUUCAAUUUCUCGACGUCAGUAAGAUGAAAGAUGCGUUGCAAAAGGAGCAUUUUUAUACAACUACUUUAAAAGGAAUAUUACCUUAUAUACCAAGGAAACUUUGGUAUCAACAUAUUUGGACGUAUCUGCAAACUGAAUUGGAAAGUGAAGAAGUUCAAUCGGCUGUAUUACAACCAGUACUUUAUAUCGUACAAAAUAGUACACAAGAGGAAUACGAUCAAAUUGUAUUUCCAUCGUUACGAUCGCUUUUCUCGAAUCGUAAAUCGAUUCACGGAACGGUUACGUUGCUGGAAAAUUUGCAUUUGAUAUUAAAAAAAACAUCUCGAGAAUAUAUAGAAAGCGAAGUGCUUCCGAUGUUAUAUACAUCCUUUGAGAAUUCAACCACUCAAGUGCAGACUGCAGCGUUCGUAGCCGUGUCUAAUGUGACCGAUUACAUACACGAUGAGGCUGUUCGAAACAUCGUGUUGCCGAAAUUACUUCAAGCAUUUGAAAAAAAUCUAGUGGAUUCCCGAAUACUUAUGAACGUGAUACCCUGUAUUUUAAAUCGUUUGGAAAAGCAGAAAAUCAUCGAUUGUAUUUUACCAUUAUUGUUCAAUGUAAAACUUCAAGAACCGGAGAUAAUCGUUCGGGUUGUAAAAAUUUACAGAUUGAUGUUAAAUGACAAAAAAUAUGGAUUAUCUGUGAAUUGGAUGGCGACUAGAGCAAUGCCUUCUUUACUACCUCAAACUAUUAACCCAGCAUUGAAUCUCGAGCAGUUUGAGCUACUUCUCAAAGUGUUACAAGAUAUGCUGAAUCACAUCGAAAGGAAUCAAAGAAAUCAAUUAACGCUGGAUAAUUUGUCAUUGUCGAGCCCGGAACGGUAUCGAAGUUUGCGACAUCAACACAGUACGGACAAUAUGUAUGUUGCCCCCUUUAAUAUACCAAAUCUACGUAUCGAGCAACGUAAAACUUCUUCGGCUGAAGACAUGGCUCGGAAAAAUAGCACGAAUUCGAUGUCGACGACAGUUUCAGCUGAAAACAUGGCAAGAAAGAACUCGAUGAUAACCAUGUUCAGAUGGUUCUCAUCAUCGAACAACGAUAACAGUAAUUUCUUAAAAGUGACGAAUACUUUUACGAGCAGACGGUUAUCGGAUAAUACUCUGAUGACACCGAAAAUACGGGUAGCACCGUCGUGCGAAAGUUCCCCGGGUGCUACACCAGGUGAUGGAUUACCUAUUCGACGACAUUCGAGCACUGGUCCUCAAGACCGACGCGGGUCUAACAUAAAUUUAUCGCCCCCCUUGGGUGGAAUGCCGAUUACCAGUAGCAGUGUUCCGUACCUGGUUAGCUCGAGCAUGAAUAGUAUACGAGGCUCGAGACGUCCUUCGGUCUCUUCAACGUCUUCCCAGCAAGGACUGCUGCAGCAGGUUGGCUCCAGCAUGUAUCAAUUCUUCAACAAACAAUUCGAUGGUUAAAUCUUUCGUCGACGAUCAAGUUUCGUAGGAUAUUUACGUUAACAUUAACAACGUAAGGAACAAUUGGUUACCGUCCGUGCGACAAAAGGAGACAUAGAGGAACGAAAAAAAAUAAUUUUAUAGCCAUCUCCUGUUAACGAUAAAAUGGCAACAGAGACUGAUUGUUUUUCUGGAGUAUCAUAUGACACUAGAAAAUAAAGUGUCCUUAAGGUGUUCGGGAUAAGAAUUAUUUCACGUUUGUGCUUGAUCACAAUUCUGAUCGUACAGAAAUCGUUAAAUAAUGCGUGGACAAUCGUGGACAAUCUUAUAGGCAAUCUUGGACAAUCGUCGACAAUCAGAAACGAACAGGAAAAAGUCGAUACAAACGAAUGACGUGUUCGUGUUCUUACGAAUUAUCUUUUGAUAAUUAUUCAACAAAAUUGUAAUUUAUCAAAAGUAUUUGAACGUACAUAAUAUACAUUGUAAACUCGAUACAUUGAAUCAUUGUCGAGAAAGCGAAUCUUGAGAUCUUGUGUAUCCAAGUAUACGUAUAUGUAUUAUCAUAGAAACAGAAAAUGACAAUCAUUCGAACAAAACUAUGGAAUUAUUAGGAACUAUGGAUUAUUAGGAAUUUUGGGCUCUAGCAUUUUUUUUUGAUCAAUCUUGUCGAUCGAUAAUGCAAAGUUUUGCCCGAAAUACAUGUGAUCUGGUAAAAAAAUUUCAUACACAUUUAUUAUUCUAUUUUUUGAAUAUUUUUCUCUAUAUAUAAUUUUCUCUUUAAAUCUCAUCGUUUUUGUCUUAUUUUUUUUUUUUUUUUUUUACCUAUCGUUUAUAUUUUCUUUUCUUUUAUCUAUGGGUGUUUCUGCUUUUACGAUCGUUUUUAAUUUUACAUUUUAGAACAAUUUUUCCUUUCGAUAUAAUAAGGAAGUACAAACAUUUUAUCGAUCGUAGCAGGAAUAUUUUACGUCUAAUAUUAAUAUUUUUCACAGUAUUAGAGAUCCAGUAUUAUAUUCACAUACGAACAAAUAACAAACCAACAAGAAAUAUAUAGUCAUAAUGUGUGGACACAAUUGUGAAAAAUCUGCCUUUGCUCCUGUUUAUCUUUAUGCAACGUGUAUCGGGCUUCAAAUUAUGUAUUUAAAUGAUGUUCUCAUUGAAGCAAUAUCAUUUAUGAUAUUGUCUCGUAUUGUCAUUUUCAUCGUUAUCAUUCUAUUCCAUAAUUAUGUAUGUGCAAGAAAGAAUACGUCAACGAGUAAUGUGCUCAAUAGACUUCCUAUCGAAAAUAGAUGUUAAACUCGUCCGAAUGCAAUUAUUCAUUCUCCAUGAUAUAUUGUUCGUGCACAAGCAACAUCCUUUUCCGAUUAAUUAAUCCGUUCUUGUUAUUAAGUAUGUAUAUUUCCUGUAUCUCUUUCGAAAGAUGUACUAUAAUAAAAACGAUGGUAAUCGAAUA